Molecule: ribosomal RNA, 240 nt
Filed under: Serratia proteamaculans
Lineage: Bacteria; Pseudomonadati; Pseudomonadota; Gammaproteobacteria; Enterobacterales; Yersiniaceae
Also listed under: 1 other name
Description: partial 16S ribosomal RNA
Rfam family: Bacterial small subunit ribosomal RNA
Source: RNAcentral
AUUGAACGCUGGCGGCAGGCCUAACACAUGCAAGUCGAGCGGUAGCACAGGAGAGCUUGCUCUCCGGGUGACGAGCGGCGGACGGGUGAGUAAUGUCUGGGAAACUGCCUGAUGGAGGGGGAUAACUACUGGAAACGGUAGCUAAUACCGCAUAACGUCUUCGGACCAAAGUGGGGGACCUUCGGGCCUCACGCCAUCAGAUGUGCCCAGAUGGGAUUAGCUAGUAGGUGGGGUAAUGGC